CCUACGUGAGGCAGCAGUGAGGAAUAUUGGUCAAUGGUCGAAAGCCUGAACCAGCCAAGCCGCGUGAGGGAUGAAGGUACUCAGAUUCGUAAACUGCUUUUGUACGGGGGUAAAGGCAGUGACGUGUCCCUGUCUGAAUGUACCGUACGAAUAAGGAUCGGCUAACUCCGUGCCAGCAGCCGCGGUAAUACGGAGGAUUCGAGCGUUAUCCGGAUUUAUAGGGGUUAAAGGGUGCGUAGGCGGUCGGUUAAGUUAGGGGGUAAAUCCAGGGGCUCAACGUCGGAAUUGCCUUUGAUUCUGGCAGUCGAGAGAGUGAUAGAGGUAGGCGGAAGGUAUGGUGUAGCGGUGAAAUGCGUAGAGAUCGUGCAGAACACCGAUUGCGAAGGCAGCUUGCC
Molecule: ribosomal RNA, 395 nt
Filed under: uncultured bacterium
Lineage: Bacteria
Description: partial 16S ribosomal RNA
Rfam family: Bacterial small subunit ribosomal RNA
Source: RNAcentral